Molecule: microRNA, 22 nt
Filed under: Macaca mulatta (Rhesus monkey)
Lineage: Eukaryota; Metazoa; Chordata; Mammalia; Primates; Cercopithecidae
Description: Mml-Novel-10_5p* (star (passenger))
Source: RNAcentral
CAACUCCUGGGGUUGCUAUUCA